Small nucleolar RNA from Ochotona princeps (American pika), 141 nucleotides. Its record names the gene SNORA74. It matches the Rfam family "Small nucleolar RNA SNORA74". From Rfam's summary of the family: U19 belongs to the H/ACA class of snoRNAs. snoRNAs bind a number of proteins (including dyskerin, Gar1p and Nop10p in the case of the H/ACA class) to form snoRNP complexes. This class are thought to guide the sites of modification of uridines to pseudouridines by forming direct base pairing interactions with substrate RNAs. Targets may include ribosomal and spliceosomal RNAs but the exact functions of many snoRNAs, including U19, are not confirmed. Lineage: Eukaryota; Metazoa; Chordata; Mammalia; Lagomorpha; Ochotonidae. The record is from Ensembl.
CCCAGCUGUGGGCAAUGUCCUAGGUUGUAUUGUACCUAGGCACGUGUUACGUUGCUGGGAGAAAAGCAGCUAAUAGCUGGCAGGCAUUCUGGGCCUGGUUAAUGUCAAAUCUGUGUUAACCAUACUAGUGUGCCAGCCAGC